UGCAUAAUGCAAUAUCAAGUGCAAACCAUCAUAGUAGCAGAUCUUCGUUUUUUGUUUGUUUGACGCAUAAAAGAAUAACUGAAUUCCGAUCGGGGAGGGUGAUGACGUGGAGAAGAGUGAAAGAGCAAUAAGGGCAGGUGUCCAGCAGAGAGGCUCCGUUGCAAAAAAAAUAGGGGGCUCCAUUUGCGUUUCCUUACCUGCUUUACUUUUCGACCCGGCGAAUAGGAUCGCUUACUUGUCUUCUUUUCUAUACGCCUUUCGUUGUCUGCCUGCACUCUCUCUUAGUAUUUUUAUUAUUAUUAUUAUUUUUAUUUUUUUAUUAUUAUAGUAAUAAUUUUUGUAAGAAUAAAAAAUAUAAAAAAAGGAAGGAAGGAGCUGCUGAUCCUCAUUUCAUCUGAUUGAUUGAUUACACAACAAGUUGCAAGUUGCAGUGAGUGAGUGACCCAUGUCCUUUUCUGCAUCUGAAACACGGACCCAACUCUGCUCAAAACCUAGGUGCCGAAUUGAUUAGGAAGGAAGGAAGGAAGGAAGGAAGGACAUCAUAUAAACAAACUAUGAUAGGAUGUAGACUUUGCAACAACAAAAAAUGGGCAAAUGUGGAAGAAUGUAUAAUAACUUGGUUCUAUUAAGAAGAGGGACAACAAAGUUGUUUAAAAGUGUACAAUUUACACAAUUAUAAAGUCCUGUUAUGCUAAUUACACAAAUAUUAUACUCAAUUGAAUAAGAUUUCACAAUAAUAGCGGAUAAAAAUAAAUUUAAAAAAAUGGUAAAUAGAUAAUUAAUUUCUUAAAAGAUGAAUAAGUAAUUUAUAUGAUUCAUCUAAAAAAAAUAAAAGUAUUAUGAAUCUGCAUAAUGCAAUAUCAAGUGCAAACCAUCAUAGUAGCAGAUCUUCGUUUUUUGUUUGUUUGACGCAUAAAAGAAUAACUGAAUUCCGAUCGGGGAGGGUGAUGACGUGGAGAAGAGUGAAAGAGCAAUAAGGGCAGGUGUCCAGCAGAGAGGCUCCGUUGCAAAAAAAAUAGGGGGCUCCAUUUGCGUUUCCUUACCUGCUUUACUUUUCGACCCGGCGAAUAGGAUCGCUUACUUGUCUUCUUUUCUAUACGCCUUUCGUUGUCUGCCUGCACUCUCUC
This 1127-nucleotide long non-coding RNA is filed under the name Cicer arietinum (chickpea). RNAcentral describes it as "long non-coding RNA (CARI_LNC001533)". The record is from RNAcentral. Lineage: Eukaryota; Viridiplantae; Streptophyta; Magnoliopsida; Fabales; Fabaceae.